AGCAGCCGCGGUAAAUUCCAGCUCCAAUAGCGUAUAUUAAAGUUGCUGCAGUUAAAAAGCUCGUAGUUGAAUUUCGGGAUCAAUAUGUUGGUCGUGCCUUGGUACGUACUAGCUCAUUGGUUUCUCCCUUCUGACGAACCAUGAUGUCAUUAAUUUGAUGUCAUGGGGAAUCAGGACUGUUACUUUGAAAAAUUAGAGUGUUUAAAGCAGGCUCACGCCUGAAUACAUUAGCAUGGAAUAAUGAAAUAGGACGUUUGAUUCUAUUUUGUUGGUUUCUAGGAUCG
Molecule: ribosomal RNA, 284 nt
Filed under: uncultured Glomus
Lineage: Eukaryota; Fungi; Glomeromycota; Glomeromycetes; Glomerales; Glomeraceae
Description: partial 18S ribosomal RNA
Rfam family: Eukaryotic small subunit ribosomal RNA
Source: RNAcentral